Molecule: ribosomal RNA, 2816 nt
Filed under: Klebsiella pneumoniae
Lineage: Bacteria; Pseudomonadati; Pseudomonadota; Gammaproteobacteria; Enterobacterales; Enterobacteriaceae
Description: partial 23S ribosomal RNA
Rfam family: Bacterial large subunit ribosomal RNA
Source: RNAcentral
GGUUAAGCGACUAAGCGUACACGGUGGAUGCCCUGGCAGUCAGAGGCGAUGAAGGACGUGCUAAUCUGCGAAAAGCGUCGGUAAGGUGAUAUGAACCGUUAUAACCGGCGAUGUCCGAAUGGGGAAACCCAGUGCAAUUCGUUGCACUAUCGUUAACUGAAUACAUAGGUUAACGAGGCGAACCGGGGGAACUGAAACAUCUAAGUACCCCGAGGAAAAGAAAUCAACCGAGAUUCCCCCAGUAGCGGCGAGCGAACGGGGAGCAGCCCAGAGUCUGAAUCAGCUUGUGUGUUAGUGGAACGGUCUGGAAAGUCCGACGGUACAGGGUGAUAGUCCCGUACACCAAAAUGCACAGGCUGUGAACUCGAAGAGUAGGGCGGGACACGUGGUAUCCUGUCUGAAUAUGGGGGGACCAUCCUCCAAGGCUAAAUACUCCUGACUGACCGAUAGUGAACCAGUACCGUGAGGGAAAGGCGAAAAGAACCCCGGCGAGGGGAGUGAAAAAGAACCUGAAACCGUGUACGUACAAGCAGUGGGAGCACCUUCGGGUGUGACUGCGUACCUUUUGUAUAAUGGGUCAGCGACUUAUAUUCUGUAGCAAGGUUAACCGUAUAGGGGAGCCGCAGGGAAACCGAGUCUUAACUGGGCGUUAAGUUGCAGGGUAUAGACCCGAAACCCGGUGAUCUAGCCAUGGGCAGGUUGAAGGUUGGGUAACACUAACUGGAGGACCGAACCGACUAAUGUUGAAAAAUUAGCGGAUGACUUGUGGCUGGGGGUGAAAGGCCAAUCAAACCGGGAGAUAGCUGGUUCUCCCCGAAAGCUAUUUAGGUAGCGCCUCGUGAAUUCAUCUUCGGGGGUAGAGCACUGUUUCGGCUAGGGGGUCAUCCCGACUUACCAACCCGAUGCAAACUACGAAUACCGAAGAAUGUUAUCACGGGAGACACACGGCGGGUGCUAACGUCCGUCGUGAAGAGGGAAACAACCCAGACCGCCAGCUAAGGUCCCAAAGUCAUGGUUAAGUGGGAAACGAUGUGGGAAGGCACAGACAGCCAGGAUGUUGGCUUAGAAGCAGCCAUCAUUUAAAGAAAGCGUAAUAGCUCACUGGUCGAGUCGGCCUGCGCGGAAGAUGUAACGGGGCUAAACCAUGCACCGAAGCUGCGGCAGCGACACUAUGUGUUGUUGGGUAGGGGAGCGUUCUGUAAGCCUGCGAAGGUGACCUGUGAGGGUUGCUGGAGGUAUCAGAAGUGCGAAUGCUGACAUAAGUAACGAUAAAGCGGGUGAAAAGCCCGCUCGCCGGAAGACCAAGGGUUCCUGUCCAACGUUAAUCGGGGCAGGGUGAGUCGACCCCUAAGGCGAGGCCGAAAGGCGUAGUCGAUGGGAAACAGGUUAAUAUUCCUGUACUUGGUGUUACUGCGAAGGGGGGACGGAGAAGGCUAUGUUAGCCGGGCGACGGUUGUCCCGGUUUAAGCAUGUAGGCUGAUUGUCCAGGCAAAUCCGGAUAAUCAAGGCUGAGGUGUGAUGACGAGGCACUACGGUGCUGAAGUAACAAAUGCCCUGCUUCCAGGAAAAGCCUCUAAGCAUCAGGUAACAUUAAAUCGUACCCCAAACCGACACAGGUGGUCAGGUAGAGAAUACCAAGGCGCUUGAGAGAACUCGGGUGAAGGAACUAGGCAAAAUGGUGCCGUAACUUCGGGAGAAGGCACGCUGGUGUGUAGGUGAAGUCCCUGCGGAUGGAGCUGAGACCAGUCGAAGAUACCAGCUGGCUGCAACUGUUUAUUAAAAACACAGCACUGUGCAAACACGAAAGUGGACGUAUACGGUGUGACGCCUGCCCGGUGCCGGAAGGUUAAUUGAUGGGGUUAUCCGUAAGGAGAAGCUCUUGAUCGAAGCCCCGGUAAACGGCGGCCGUAACUAUAACGGUCCUAAGGUAGCGAAAUUCCUUGUCGGGUAAGUUCCGACCUGCACGAAUGGCGUAAUGAUGGCCAGGCUGUCUCCACCCGAGACUCAGUGAAAUUGAACUCGCUGUGAAGAUGCAGUGUACCCGCGGCAAGACGGAAAGACCCCGUGAACCUUUACUAUAGCUUGACACUGAACAUUGAGCCUUGAUGUGUAGGAUAGGUGGGAGGCUUUGAAGCGUGGACGCCAGUCUGCGUGGAGCCAACCUUGAAAUACCACCCUUUAAUGUUUGAUGUUCUAACGUUGGCCCCUUACCGGGGUUGCGGACAGUGUCUGGUGGGUAGUUUGACUGGGGCGGUCUCCUCCCAAAGCGUAACGGAGGAGCACGAAGGUUAGCUAAUCCUGGUCGGACAUCAGGAGGUUAGUGCAAUGGCAUAAGCUAGCUUGACUGCGAGCGUGACGGCGCGAGCAGGUGCGAAAGCAGGUCAUAGUGAUCCGGUGGUUCUGAAUGGAAGGGCCAUCGCUCAACGGAUAAAAGGUACUCCGGGGAUAACAGGCUGAUACCGCCCAAGAGUUCAUAUCGACGGCGGUGUUUGGCACCUCGAUGUCGGCUCAUCACAUCCUGGGGCUGAAGUAGGUCCCAAGGGUAUGGCUGUUCGCCAUUUAAAGUGGUACGCGAGCUGGGUUUAGAACGUCGUGAGACAGUUCGGUCCCUAUCUGCCGUGGGCGCUGGAGAAUUGAGGGGGGCUGCUCCUAGUACGAGAGGACCGGAGUGGACGCAUCACUGGUGUUCGGGUUGUCAUGCCAAUGGCACUGCCCGGUAGCUAAAUGCGGAAGAGAUAAGUGCUGAAAGCAUCUAAGCACGAAACUUGCCCCGAGAUGAGUUCUCCCUGAGACUUUAAGUCUCCUGAAGGAACGUU